UGUUAGAGAUUCGACUGCCCCAU
Molecule: non-coding RNA, 23 nt
Filed under: Drosophila melanogaster (fruit fly)
Lineage: Eukaryota; Metazoa; Arthropoda; Insecta; Diptera; Drosophilidae
Source: RNAcentral